GGGUUGUGAGGUUAAGCGACUAAGCGUACACGGUGGAUGCCCUGGCAGUCAGAGGCGAUGAAGGACGUGCUAAUCUGCGAUAAGCGCCGGUAAGGUGAUAUGAACCGUUAUAACCGGCGAUUUCCGAAUGGGGAAACCCAGUGUGACUCGUCACACUAUCAUUAACUGAAUCCAUAGGUUAAUGAGGCGAACCGGGGGAACUGAAACAUCUAAGUACCCCGAGGAAAAGAAAUCAACCGAGAUUCCCCCAGUAGCGGCGAGCGAACGGGGAGGAGCCCAGAGCCUGAAUCAGCAUGUGUGUUAGUGGAAGCGUCUGGAAAGGCGCGCGAUACAGGGUGACAGCCCCGUACACAAAAGCGCAUGUGCUGUGAGCUCGAUGAGUAGGGCGGGACACGUGGUAUCCUGUCUGAAUAUGGGGGGACCAUCCUCCAAGGCUAAAUACUCCUGACUGACCGAUAGUGAACCAGUACCGUGAGGGAAAGGCGAAAAGAACCCCGGCGAGGGGAGUGAAAAAGAACCUGAAACCGUGUACGUACAAGCAGUGGGAGCACCCUUUGGGGUGUGACUGCGUACCUUUUGUAUAAUGGGUCAGCGACUUAUAUUCUGUAGCAAGGUUAACCGAAUAGGGGAGCCGGAGGGAAACCGAGUCUUAAUUGGGCGUUAAGUUGCAGGGUAUAGACCCGAAACCCGGUGAUCUAGCCAUGGGCAGGUUGAAGGUUGGGUAACACUAACUGGAGGACCGAACCGACUAAUGUUGAAAAAUUAGCGGAUGACCUGUGGCUGGGGGUGAAAGGCCAAUCAAACCGGGAGAUAGCUGGUUCUCCCCGAAAGCUAUUUAGGUAGCGCCUCGUGAAUUCAUCUCCGGGGGUAGAGCACUGUUUCGGCUAGGGGGCCAUCCCGGCUUACCAACCCGAUGCAAACUGCGAAUACCGGAGAAUGUUAUCACGGGAGACACACGGCGGGUGCUAACGUCCGUCGUGAAGAGGGAAACAACCCAGACCGCCAGCUAAGGUCCCAAAGUCAUGGUUAAGUGGGAAACGAUGUGGGAAGGCCCAGACAGCCAGGAUGUUGGCUUAGAAGCAGCCAUCAUUUAAAGAAAGCGUAAUAGCUCACUGGUCGAGUCGGCCUGCGCGGAAGAUGUAACGGGGCUAAACCAUGCACCGAAGCUGCGGCAGCGACGCUGAUGCGUUGUUGGGUAGGGGAGCGUUCUGUAAGCCUGUGAAGGUGGCCUGUGAGGGUUGCUGGAGGUAUCAGAAGUGCGAAUGCUGACAUAAGUAACGAUAAAGCGGGUGAAAAGCCCGCUCGCCGGAAGACCAAGGGUUCCUGUCCAACGUUAAUCGGGGCAGGGUGAGUCGACCCCUAAGGCGAGGCCGAAAGGCGUAGUCGAUGGGAAACGGGUUAAUAUUCCCGUACUUGGUGUUACUGCGAAGGGGGGACGGAGAAGGCUAUGUUGGCCGGGCGACGGUUGUCCCGGUUUAAGCGUGUAGGUGUGUGUUCCAGGUAAAUCCGGUUCACUUUAACACUGAGGCGUGAUGACGAGGCACUACGGUGCUGAAGCAACAAAUGCCCUGCUUCCAGGAAAAGCCUCUAAGCAUCAGGUAACAUCAAAUCGUACCCCAAACCGACACAGGUGGUCAGGUAGAGAAUACCAAGGCGCUUGAGAGAACUCGGGUGAAGGAACUAGGCAAAAUGGUGCCGUAACUUCGGGAGAAGGCACGCUGACACGUAGGUGAAGUGAUUUACUCAUGGAGCUGAAGUCAGUCGAAGAUACCAGCUGGCUGCAACUGUUUAUUAAAAACACAGCACUGUGCAAACACGAAAGUGGACGUAUACGGUGUGACGCCUGCCCGGUGCCGGAAGGUUAAUUGAUGGGGUCAGCGCAAGCGAAGCUCCUGAUCGAAGCCCCGGUAAACGGCGGCCGUAACUAUAACGGUCCUAAGGUAGCGAAAUUCCUUGUCGGGUAAGUUCCGACCUGCACGAAUGGCGUAAUGAUGGCCAGGCUGUCUCCACCCGAGACUCAGUGAAAUUGAACUCGCUGUGAAGAUGCAGUGUACCCGCGGCAAGACGGAAAGACCCCGUGAACCUUUACUAUAGCUUGACACUGAACAUUGAGCCUUGAUGUGUAGGAUAGGUGGGAGGCUUUGAAGUGUGGACGCCAGUCUGCAUGGAGCCGGCCUUGAAAUACCACCCUUUAAUGUUUGAUGUUCUAACGUGGACCCGUGAUCCGGGUUGCGGACAGUGUCUGGUGGGUAGUUUGACUGGGGCGGUCUCCUCCUAAAGAGUAACGGAGGAGCACGAAGGUUGGCUAAUCCUGGUCGGACAUCAGGAGGUUAGUGCAAUGGCAUAAGCCAGCUUGACUGCGAGCGUGACGGCGCGAGCAGGUGCGAAAGCAGGUCAUAGUGAUCCGGUGGUUCUGAAUGGAAGGGCCAUCGCUCAACGGAUAAAAGGUACUCCGGGGAUAACAGGCUGAUACCGCCCAAGAGUUCAUAUCGACGGCGGUGUUUGGCACCUCGAUGUCGGCUCAUCACAUCCUGGGGCUGAAGUAGGUCCCAAGGGUAUGGCUGUUCGCCAUUUAAAGUGGUACGCGAGCUGGGUUUAGAACGUCGUGAGACAGUUCGGUCCCUAUCUGCCGUGGGCGCUGGAGAACUGAGGGGGGCUGCUCCUAGUACGAGAGGACCGGAGUGGACGCAUCACUGGUGUUCGGGUUGUCAUGCCAAUGGCACUGCCCGGUAGCUAAAUGCGGAAGAGAUAAGUGCUGAAAGCAUCUAAGCACGAAACUUGCCCCGA
RNAcentral lists this ribosomal RNA (2787 nucleotides) under Salmonella enterica subsp. enterica serovar Javiana. RNAcentral describes it as "partial 23S ribosomal RNA". It matches the Rfam family "Bacterial large subunit ribosomal RNA". Lineage: Bacteria; Pseudomonadati; Pseudomonadota; Gammaproteobacteria; Enterobacterales; Enterobacteriaceae. The record is from RNAcentral.